GAUGAACGCUGGCGGCGUGCCUAACACAUGCAAGUCGAGCGGGAUCUUGCUAAAUGACGCUUCGGUUGAUUUUAGUAAGUGAGAGCGGCGGACGGGUGAGUAACGCGUAGGCAACCUGCCCUUUGCAGAGGGAUAGCCAUUGGAAACGAUGAUUAAAACCUCAUAAUGCCAGACUGAGACAUCUCUAACUGGCCAAAGAUUUAUCGGCAAAGGAUGGGCCUGCGUCUGAUUAGCUAGUUGGUGGGGUAACGGCCUACCAAGGCGACGAUCAGUAGCCGACCUGAGAGGGUGAUCGGCCACAUUGGAACUGAGAUACGGUCCAAACUCCUACGGGAGGCAGCAGUGGGGAAUAUUGGGCAAUGGGCGCAAGCCUGACCCAGCAACGCCGCGUGAAGGAAGAAGGUUUUCGGAUUGUAAACUUCUGUCCUAUGUGAAGAGAAGUAGACGGUAGCAUAGGAGGAAGCCCGGCUAACUACGUGCCAGCAGCC
This 488-nucleotide ribosomal RNA is filed under the name uncultured bacterium. RNAcentral describes it as "bacterial SSU rRNA". It matches the Rfam family "Bacterial small subunit ribosomal RNA", at positions 28 to 516 of the family's 1533-position model. The record is from RNAcentral.